Molecule: long non-coding RNA, 596 nt
Filed under: Anser brachyrhynchus (Pink-footed goose)
Lineage: Eukaryota; Metazoa; Chordata; Aves; Anseriformes; Anatidae
Description: lncRNA (ENSABRG00000018008.1)
Source: RNAcentral
AAACAAGCCAUGGGGGACAGAAGACCUAGUGGGAAUGAAGGUGGAGCCCACCGUGUUUAGAUGUGCUAUCUAGAAGGUGGAUGCCAGAUGACCUGUGUCGGUACCGAGCCAUUUCAGUUAUCCACGCCGCACUGCAGACUGUGUUGCACUACAGUAUGUCAGAGCCGAGGCCUUGCAACUGCCUGCAAAGAUAACAUCAACUAUACAUGGUGAAUGGACAAUGCUCCCCAUACUGAGGAAAUGGCAGCCAUCCUGCAGAUGCAGCGGAUGCAUCCUGCACCUUCACCAGGCGCUGAGCUUCUUUGGUUAGACACUUAACCUGGAAAACAAGCAGUAGGACAAGAUGCCAUGGCAGUGAUUGGAACAAAGAAAGAGAGAGAGAGAAGUGUAAAAAGUGUUCCAGUAUUCAUCCAGUCAAGCAGAGCACGAUCAACUGCUAGGGAAGUCGUUAAUCAUACUCAUUUUGAUAGUGCUUCAAAAUCAAAUAAGGAUUGGAUCUCUCUAAAUAGUUGAGACAGAGAUCAUGGAGGAAACUAGUUGAGCUGAAUGGUAAACAUGUUUUUUUUUCUUAAAAUAAAGGAGACACACACACCCCA